RNAcentral lists this ribosomal RNA (912 nucleotides) under uncultured archaeon. Its description in RNAcentral is "bacterial SSU rRNA". It matches the Rfam family "Archaeal small subunit ribosomal RNA", at positions 1 to 923 of the family's 1478-position model. The record is from RNAcentral.
UUCCGGUUGAUCCCGCCGGACCUGACUGCUAUCGGAUUGGUACUAAGCCAUGUGAGUCAUUGUAGCAAUACAAGGCAUACGGCUCAGUAACACGUAGUCAAUCUAACCUAUGGACGGGGAUAACCUCGGGAAACUGAGGAUAAACCCCGAUAGAUCAUUAUGCCUGGAACGGUUUAUGGUCUAAAUGAUUCGUCGCCGUAGGGUGGGACUGCGGCCUAUCAGCUUGUUGGUGAGGUAAUGGCCCACCAAGGCUAUUACAGGUACGGGCUCUGAGAGGAGAAGCCCGGAGAUGGGUACUGAGACACGGACCCAGGCCCUAUGGGGCGCAGCAGGCGAGAAACCUUUGCAAUGUGCGCAAGCACGACAAGGUUAAUCCGAGUGUUUCCUGCUAAAGGAAUCUUUUGUUAGUUGUAAAACCACUGAUGAAUAAGGGGUGGGCAAGUUCUGGUGUCAGCCGCCGCGGUAAAACCAGCACCUCAAGUGGUCAGGAUGAUUAUUGGGCCUGAAGCAUCCGUAGCCUGUUCUAUAAGUUUCCGGUUAAAUCCAUUAGCUCAACUAAUGGGCUGCCGAAAAUACUGUAGAACUAGGGAGUGGGAGAGGUAGACGGUACUCGGUAGGGAGGGGUAAAAUCCUUUGAUCUAUUGAUGACCACCUGUGGCGAAGGCGGUCUACCAGAACACGUUCGACGGUGAGGGAUGAAAGCUGGGGGAGCAAACCGGAUUAGAUACCCGGGUAGUCCCAGCUGUAAACGAUGCAGACUCGGUGAUGCCCUGGCUUGUGGCCAGUGCAGUGCCGCAGGAAAGCCGUUAAGUUUGCCGCCUGGGAAGUACGUACGCAAGUAUGAACUUAAAGGAAUUGGCGGGGGAGCACCACAAGGGUGAAGCCUGCGGUUCAAUUGGAUUCACGCCGGGA